RNAcentral lists this ribosomal RNA (740 nucleotides) under Microbacterium profundi. Its description in RNAcentral is "bacterial SSU rRNA". It matches the Rfam family "Bacterial small subunit ribosomal RNA", at positions 76 to 829 of the family's 1533-position model. Lineage: Bacteria; Bacillati; Actinomycetota; Actinomycetes; Micrococcales; Microbacteriaceae. The record is from RNAcentral.
CCGCUUGCGGGGUGGAUCAGUGGCGAACGGGUGAGUAACACGUGAGCAACCUGCCCCUGACUCUGGGAUAAGCGCUGGAAACGGCGUCUAAUACUGGAUACGAGACGUGAUCGCAUGGUCAACGUUUGGAAAGAUUUUUCGGUUGGGGAUGGGCUCGCGGCCUAUCAGCUUGUUGGUGAGGUAAUGGCUCACCAAGGCGUCGACGGGUAGCCGGCCUGAGAGGGUGACCGGCCACACUGGGACUGAGACACGGCCCAGACUCCUACGGGAGGCAGCAGUGGGGAAUAUUGCACAAUGGGCGCAAGCCUGAUGCAGCAACGCCGCGUGAGGGAUGACGGCCUUCGGGUUGUAAACCUCUUUUAGCAGGGAAGAAGCGAGAGUGACGGUACCUGCAGAAAAAGCACCGGCUAACUACGUGCCAGCAGCCGCGGUAAUACGUAGGGUGCAAGCGUUAUCCGGAAUUAUUGGGCGUAAAGAGCUCGUAGGCGGUUUGUCGCGUCUGCUGUGAAAUCUGGGGGCUCAACCCCCAGCCUGCAGUGGGUACGGGCAGACUAGAGUGCGGUAGGGGAGAUUGGAAUUCCUGGUGUAGCGGUGGAAUGCGCAGAUAUCAGGAGGAACACCGAUGGCGAAGGCAGAUCUCUGGGCCGUAACUGACGCUGAGGAGCGAAAGGGUGGGGAGCAAACAGGCUUAGAUACCCUGGUAGUCCACCCCGUAAACGUUGGGAACUAGUUGUGGGGUC